GGAGANNNGUCCGAGUCUGGCUGAAGGAGCACGGUUGGAAACCGUGUAAGCGUGGCGACGCGUUUCGAGGGUUCGAAUCCCUUCCUCUCCAUCA
RNAcentral lists this transfer RNA (94 nucleotides) under Leuconostoc pseudomesenteroides. Its description in RNAcentral is "tRNA-Ser". It matches the Rfam family "tRNA". Rfam says of the family: Transfer RNA (tRNA) molecules are approximately 80 nucleotides in length. The record is from RNAcentral. Lineage: Bacteria; Bacillati; Bacillota; Bacilli; Lactobacillales; Lactobacillaceae.